This 83-nucleotide transfer RNA is filed under the name Blumeria hordei DH14. RNAcentral describes it as "tRNA-Gln for anticodon CUG". It matches the Rfam family "tRNA". From Rfam's summary of the family: Transfer RNA (tRNA) molecules are approximately 80 nucleotides in length. Their secondary structure includes four short double-helical elements and three loops (D, anti-codon, and T loops). The record is from Rfam by way of RNAcentral. Lineage: Eukaryota; Fungi; Ascomycota; Leotiomycetes; Helotiales; Erysiphaceae.
GGCCAGUUGGUGUAAUGGUCAGCACGUCGGAUUCUGACGAGUAGCGACUUCCGGAGAUGCUGGCUCGAUUCCUGCACAGGCCU